This 465-nucleotide ribosomal RNA is filed under the name Vreelandella stevensii. RNAcentral describes it as "partial 16S ribosomal RNA". It matches the Rfam family "Bacterial small subunit ribosomal RNA", at positions 338 to 795 of the family's 1533-position model. The record is from RNAcentral. Lineage: Bacteria; Pseudomonadati; Pseudomonadota; Gammaproteobacteria; Oceanospirillales; Halomonadaceae.
CCUACGGGGGGCAGCAGUGGGGAAUAUUGGACAAUGGGCGAAAGCCUGAUCCAGCCAUGCCGCGUGUGUGAAGAAGGCCUUCGGGUUGUAAAGCACUUUCAGUGGGGAAGAAAGCCUUGGGGCUAAUACCCUCGAGGAAGGACAUCACCCACAGAAGAAGCACCGGCUAACUCCGUGCCAGCAGCCGCGGUAAUACGGAGGGUGCGAGCGUUAAUCGGAAUUACUGGGCGUAAAGCGCGCGUAGGCGGUCUGAUAAGCCGGUUGUGAAAGCCCGGGGCUCAACCUGGGAACGGCAUCCGGAACUGUCAGGCUAGAGUGCAGGAGAGGAAGGUAGAAUUCCCGGUGUAGCGGUGAAAUGCGUAGAGAUCGGGAGGAAUACCAGUGGCGAAGGCGGCCUUCUGGACUGACACUGACGCUGAGGUGCGAAAGCGUGGGUAGCAAACAGGAUUAGAUACCCGAGUAGUC